This 492-nucleotide ribosomal RNA is filed under the name uncultured bacterium. Its description in RNAcentral is "partial 16S ribosomal RNA". It matches the Rfam family "Bacterial small subunit ribosomal RNA", at positions 29 to 507 of the family's 1533-position model. The record is from RNAcentral.
AGUGAACGCUGGCGGUAGGCCUAACACAUGCAAGUCGAACGGCAGCACAGUAAGAGCUUGCUCUUACGGGUGGCGAGUGGCGGACGGGUGAGGAAUACAUCGGAAUCUACUUUUUCGUGGGGGAUAACGUAGGGAAACUUACGCUAAUACCGCAUACGACCUACGGGUGAAAGCAGGGGAUCUUCGGACCUUGCGCGAUUGAAUGAGCCGAUGUCGGAUUAGCUAGUUGGCGGGGUAAAGGCCCACCAAGGCGACGAUCCGUAACUGGUCUGAGAGGAUGAUCAGCCACACUGGAACUGAGACACGGUCCAGACUCCUACGGGAGGCAGCAGUGGGGAAUAUUGGACAAUGGGCGCAAGCCUGAUCCAGCCAUACCGCGUGGGUGGAGAAGGCCUUCGGGUUGUAAAGCCCUUUUGUUGGGAAAGAAAAGCAGCAGGUUAAUACCCCGCUGUUCUGACGGUACCCAAAGAAUAGGCACCGGCUAACUUCGUG